AUGGCGGCCAUGUCGGAACCCCCGACCCCCUCCCAGCUGACGGAGGAAGAGGAGGAGGAAGGAGAAACCAGGCAACCCACGGCGGCGGGGAGAGAGGAGUCGGAACAACAGGCGGACAGCGGGUACAGCUGGGGGCUGCUUGUAGGGCGGGCUGUGGGGAGAGAGGAAGGGGGUCAGAUUCUGCCCCAUAGAGACCUCCUGCCCCAUAGAUUUUGGCCCAUAGAGACCUUCAGAUCCAUAGAUUUCGGUCUCCUGCCCCAUAGAUUUUGGCCCCAUAGAGACUUUCGGACCCAUAGAUUUUGGUCUCCUGCCCCAUAGAUUUUGGCCUCCUGCCCCAUAGAUUUUGGCCCCAUAGAGGCCUCCUGCCCCAUAGAGACCACCUGCCCCAUAGAUU
This 394-nucleotide long non-coding RNA is filed under the name Phasianus colchicus (ring-necked pheasant). RNAcentral describes it as "lncRNA (ENSPCLG00000019033.1)". The record is from RNAcentral. Lineage: Eukaryota; Metazoa; Chordata; Aves; Galliformes; Phasianidae.